GCGCCAGUGAUGUAGCUGGUAUCAUGCAAGAUUCCCAUUCUCGUAACCCGGGUUCAAUUCCCGGCUGGCGCA
This is a non-coding RNA of Electrophorus electricus (electric eel), 72 nucleotides long. The record is from the annotation of a RefSeq genome assembly. NCBI's taxonomy places the organism in Eukaryota, Metazoa, Chordata, Actinopteri, Gymnotiformes, Gymnotidae.